AUAAGCAAGUGUGUUUAACAUUACAGAAAAAUAUCCUUGGUUUGAUGAAUGCAUUUCCUGGAAAGAUCACAUGUCGUUUCCACGUUACCCAACAGAGUUCACAGAUCUGUAAAGAACUUCAGCCACAUGUUACAGAGGGAAGAGUAUCUGAAAAGGAUCUAGAAAAACAUGUCUCUAAGGAUACUUUAUGGUACAUCUGCGGUCCACCUCCAAUGAUAGAAUCUAUAUCCAAACUACUAUCCAACAUUGGUGUUCCUAGAAACUGUGUUUUCUUUGAGAAAUGGUGGUAGUGACAUCUGCUGAACAGCAAAUAGCUUGUUUCCAGCGUAUUUUGAUAAGCUGAAAUGUACAGAAAAUGGACUGUGAAUUAUUCGGAAGACUUUACUUCAUACAUGAAGGUGUCCUCAAUCGUGAUCGUCUUCAUUUAAUUUAACUAUAAUAAUUGUGAUACAGCGCUGCUGCUUUUGGGGAAAAAAUGAUUUUAUAUUAAAGACAGUAACUGUUCUGUUUUUUUGAUGGUUUGCUUACUUCUUAUGGGUCGCAGCGUAUUUUCACUUUAUACACUUGUUUUGUUAGUCAGCUUUUAAGAGACUUUCAGUGCCUGAUUCAGCAGUUGUCGAGAAUCAGUUGUGCAGCAAUGCCAGGUCAGUUUAUAAGAAAUAAGAAUUCAGGCCGCAACUUCUGAAUCUGCUCCAAAUUGUUGUGCUAGUGAGUCAACACACUGCCUUCCCCA
Molecule: long non-coding RNA, 733 nt
Organism: Pygoscelis adeliae (Adelie penguin)
Lineage: Eukaryota; Metazoa; Chordata; Aves; Sphenisciformes; Spheniscidae
Exons: 2
Source: RefSeq, a predicted model, not a curated record